This 474-nucleotide ribosomal RNA is filed under the name uncultured bacterium. Its description in RNAcentral is "bacterial SSU rRNA". It matches the Rfam family "Bacterial small subunit ribosomal RNA", at positions 24 to 518 of the family's 1533-position model. The record is from RNAcentral.
UCAGGAUUAACGCUGGCGGCGUGCCUAAUACAUGCAAGUCGGAUGGUUAGCUUGCUAACCAUGGCGAACGGGUGAGUAACACGUAGGUAACCUGUCUUAAAGACGAGGAUAACCAUUGGAAACGAUGGAUAAUACUGGAUAGGAUAUAUUAGGGCAUCCUGAUAUAUUUAAAGAUUUAUCACUUUAUGAGGGGCCUGCGGCGCAUUAGUUAGAUGGCGGUGUAAAGGACCACCAUGACGAUGAUGCGUAGCCGGACUGAGAGGUUGAACGGCCACAAUGGGACUGAGAACGGCCCAUACUCCUACGGGAGGCAGCAGUAGGGAAUUUUCGGCAAUGGACGGAAGUCUGAACCCGAGCAACGCCGCGUGAACGAAGAAGUUAUUUCGGUAUGUAAAGUUCUUUUAUUUGGGAAGAAAAGAUAAGAUUGACUGUACCAAAUGAAUAAGCUCCGGCUAACUACGUGCCAGCCGCCGC